This 1276-nucleotide unclassified non-coding RNA is filed under the name uncultured soil eukaryote. RNAcentral's name for it is "sequence contains 18S rRNA gene, ITS1, 5.8S rRNA gene, ITS2, 28S rRNA gene". The stretch from base 413 to 1276 matches the Rfam family "Eukaryotic large subunit ribosomal RNA", at positions 1 to 961 of the family's 3401-position model. The record is from RNAcentral.
GGAUGGAUCAUUCCUGUUAAUUAUAACAACCAACCUAAGCACUUCAAUGACAUUAACAUCACUGGUUAAAUCAACAAUUAAUGAGAAUUAAAAACUCUCAGCGAUGGAUGACUCGACUCUCACACCGAGGAAGGACGCAGCAAACCGCGAUAAGCAGUAUGAUUUGCGAACUUUCGUGAUUCACCAGAUCUCUGAACGCAAAGGUACUUCUGGCCUCGGCCUGAAGUAUGUUUGGCUCGGUAUCGUUUAGAUUACUCCAAUUGACUACUAACAACAGUCAACUGGUUCACAUUACAGUGUCUAUCAUACGUCACUGGCUAAAUGAAUGCUUACUGAUUGUAAUACAAAACACUCAUACAGUAGUAACGAGAGUUCAAACUGUAUUACUUUCAAAGCAAACAAUCACUACUCAUGAUCCGAGCUCAAACAAGGCUACCCGCUGAAUUUAAGCAUAUAAUUAAGCGGAGGAAAAGAAACCAACUGGGAUUCCCGUAGUAGUGGCGAACGAAGUGGGAAAAGCCCGAGAUGUUAAUCCGUUUCUGACGGAGUUGUGCAUCGAGGUUAUAGCUAUUAAGAAACUGGAACGAAGAUGCCUGGAAAGGCACGCCAGAGAAGGUGACAGCCCUGUUCUUAUUCCAGCUAUUCUUAAGUACAGCUUUAAUCUAAUGAGUCACGCUCUUUGGGAGUAGAGCGCAAAAUGGGUGGUAACCUCCAUCCACGGCUAGAUAAUGGUGAGAGAUCGAUAGCAAACAAGUACCGUGAGGGAAAGUUGAAAAGCACUUCGAAAGGAGAGUUAAAAUACCUGAAAUCGCUGAGGGGGAAGCGGCUGUCCGUGACCCAAUGUUUGAGGGAUUUCUCUCAAUACAUUACUCGACAUCACUUCCGUAUGGCAUGUCUUAUCGUCGCUUCGGUUAUGAUACAGACUUGACAUCGAGAAGUGUGGUUCACCAUUGCAAGUUGUCGAGAGUGGCAUGUACAGACGACCCGUCUUGAAACACGGACCAAGGAGUUAAACGAAAGUGCGAGUGUAAGAGUGUUAAACUCAGACGCGUAGUGAAAGCAAAAGCUGUGAAUUACAAUGCAACAGCAGCCGACUCUUGAAGUUCGAGCCUGAGCAUUUUCGUUUAGACCCGAAAGAUGGUGACCUAUACCUGAGUUGGGUGAAGCCAGGGGAAACUCUGGUGGAAGCUCGUAGCGAUACUGACGUGCAAAUCGUUCGUCAAACUUGGGCAUAGGGGCGAAAGACUAAUCGAACCAUCUAGUAGCUGGUUCCCUC